RNAcentral lists this long non-coding RNA (484 nucleotides) under Oncorhynchus kisutch (coho salmon). Its description in RNAcentral is "lncRNA (ENSOKIG00005002982.1)". The record is from RNAcentral. Lineage: Eukaryota; Metazoa; Chordata; Actinopteri; Salmoniformes; Salmonidae.
ACUGAUAUUGACCUCUCAUUUAUCCACAAGAGCGUGAAAUGGGAGGAUCCCCCGGAUGACCAAAAUAAGGUUGUGGGGAAUAUGAAGGAUGAAACAGAGACACAUGAGACCAACAAGAACAGGACAGGAGGCAAGCCAAUGGAGAGUGAUUCAGCAUGGCAUGAAAAAUAACCUCACAUUCGAGCAGCUCUCCAUGCUGUGUCUGAAGAUUGUUAAAGUCGUGACCCAGACAGCCCUCCGCAUUCUCCUACCAGCGCUAGCUCGUAUCAUGGGGGUGAACCUGAGGAGUGGGGCAACCUCCCCAGAAUCCCAGUGCUCUCUGACAGGGUCUGAGGAUUCCUUAGGCAGUCUGGAUGAGAGAGAGAAAAGGCUGCUGACCAGUGAGAUGAACUACUGGACUAAGGAGAGGAGGAGGAAUGGCAGUGCAGGGUGCCGCCAUAAAUCCACUCGCAGAACCUCAUCACCAUGCUGUUCGCCUAAGAGG